Long non-coding RNA from Lynx canadensis (Canada lynx), 92 nucleotides. RefSeq lists it as uncharacterized. The transcript is spliced from 3 exons. The record is from RefSeq and is a predicted model, not a curated record. Lineage: Eukaryota; Metazoa; Chordata; Mammalia; Carnivora; Felidae.
ACAUGACACUAAGUGAAGGAAACCAGGCAGAGACAGACAAAUAUUGUAUGUUAUCACUUAUUUGUGGAAUCCAAAAAAGUUGAACUCCUAGA